RNAcentral lists this ribosomal RNA (439 nucleotides) under uncultured bacterium. RNAcentral's name for it is "partial 16S ribosomal RNA". It matches the Rfam family "Bacterial small subunit ribosomal RNA", at positions 339 to 795 of the family's 1533-position model. The record is from RNAcentral.
CUACGGGUGGCUGCAGUGGGGAAUAUUGGACAAUGGGCGCAAGCCUGAUCCAGCAAUGCCGCGUGAGUGAAGACGGCCUUAGGGUUGUAAAACUCUUUCGCUAGGGAAGAUAAUGACUGUACCUAGUAAAGAAGUCCCGGCUAACUCCGUGCCAGCAGCCGCGGUAAUACGGAGGGGACUAGCGUUGUUCGGAAUUACUGGGCGUAAAGAGUUCGUAGGCGGACUGACAAGUUAGAGGUGAAAUCCCAGGGCUCAACCCUGGAACUGCCUUUAAAACUGUCAGUAUAGAGACCGGAAGAGGUUAGGGGAAUACCUAGUGUAGAGGUGAGAUUCGUAGAUAUUAGGUGGAACACCAGUGGCGAAGGCGCCUAACUGGUCCGGUACUGACGCUGAGGAACGAAAGCGUGGGGAGCAAACAGGAUUAGAUACCCCCGUAGUC